UGCAGUCGAGCGAAGCGCUCAUGCGGAAUUUUUUGGAAGGAAGCGGGAGCGUCUUAGCGGCGGACGGGUGAGUAACGCGUGGGUAACCUGCCCCAUACCGGGGGAUAACGGUUAGAAAUGACCGCUAAUACCGCUUAAGCGCGCGAGGCCGCAUGGCCGCGCGCGAAAAACUCCGGUGGUAUGGGAUGGGCCCGCGUCUGAUUAGGUAGUUGGCGGGGUAAGGGCCCACCAAGCCGACGAUCAGUAGCCGACCUGAGAGGGUGGCCGGCCACAUUGGGACUGAGACACGGCCCAAACUCCUACGGGAGGCAGCAGUGGGGAAUAUUGCGCAAUGGGGGAAACCCUGACGCAGCAACGCCGCGUGAGUGAGGAAGUAUCUCGGUAUGUAAAGCUCUAUCAGCGGGGAAGAAGGAAGACGGUACCCGACUAAGAAGCCCCGGCUAACUACGUGCCAGCAGCCGCGGUAAUACGUAGGGGGCGAGCGUUAUCCGGAUUUACUGGGUGUAAAGGGAGCGUAGACGGCGUCGCAAGUCUGAAGUGAAAGCCCGUGGCUCAACCGCGGAACCGCUUUGGAAACUGCGAGGCUGGAGUGCUGGAGAGGUAAGCGGAAUUCCUGGUGUAGCGGUGAAAUGCGUAGAUAUCAGGAGGAACACCGGUGGCGAAGGCGGCUUACUGGACAGUGACUGACGUUGAGGCUCGAAAGCGUGGGGAGCGAACAGGAUUAGAUACCCUGGUAGUCCACGCGGUAAACGAUGAGUGCUAGGUGUCGGGGGGCAAAGCCC
RNAcentral lists this ribosomal RNA (782 nucleotides) under uncultured bacterium. RNAcentral describes it as "bacterial SSU rRNA". It matches the Rfam family "Bacterial small subunit ribosomal RNA", at positions 56 to 838 of the family's 1533-position model. The record is from RNAcentral.